This 677-nucleotide ribosomal RNA is filed under the name Herbaspirillum huttiense subsp. huttiense. RNAcentral describes it as "bacterial SSU rRNA". It matches the Rfam family "Bacterial small subunit ribosomal RNA", at positions 53 to 725 of the family's 1533-position model. The record is from RNAcentral. Lineage: Bacteria; Pseudomonadati; Pseudomonadota; Betaproteobacteria; Burkholderiales; Oxalobacteraceae.
CCAUGCAGUCGACGGCAGCAUAGGAGCUUGCUCCUGAUGGCGAGUGGCGAACGGGUGAGUAAUAUAUCGGAACGUGCCCUAGAGUGGGGGAUAACUAGUCGAAAGACUAGCUAAUACCGCAUACGAUCUACGGAUGAAAGUGGGGGAUCGCAAGACCUCAUGCUCCUGGAGCGGCCGAUAUCUGAUUAGCUAGUUGGUGGGGUAAAAGCCUACCAAGGCAACGAUCAGUAGCUGGUCUGAGAGGACGACCAGCCACACUGGGACUGAGACACGGCCCAGACUCCUACGGGAGGCAGCAGUGGGGAAUUUUGGACAAUGGGGGCAACCCUGAUCCAGCAAUGCCGCGUGAGUGAAGAAGGCCUUCGGGUUGUAAAGCUCUUUUGUCAGGGAAGAAACGGUAGUAGCGAAUAACUAUUACUAAUGACGGUACCUGAAGAAUAAGCACCGGCUAACUACGUGCCAGCAGCCGCGGUAAUACGUAGGGUGCAAGCGUUAAUCGGAAUUACUGGGCGUAAAGCGUGCGCAGGCGGUUGUGUAAGUCAGAUGUGAAAUCCCCGGGCUCAACCUGGGAAUUGCAUUUGAGACUGCACGGCUAGAGUGUGUCAGAGGGGGGUAGAAUUCCACGUGUAGCAGUGAAAUGCGUAGAUAUGUGGAGGAAUACCGAUGGCGAAGGCAGC